Cavia porcellus (domestic guinea pig) is the source of this 268-nucleotide long non-coding RNA. RefSeq lists it as uncharacterized. Lineage: Eukaryota; Metazoa; Chordata; Mammalia; Rodentia; Caviidae. The transcript is spliced from 3 exons. The record is from RefSeq and is a predicted model, not a curated record.
CACGAAUAUUAAAGGAGGUUUGGGGUAUCUGCUCCUUCACCAUAGUGGGGAGAAGAUGAAAUUAUUCAGGCCUACAAUCUACUUUGAGUUACUGCUUGUGUACGCAGCAAGGGUCAAGAUUCAUCAUUUUGUAAUCUGAUAAGGUGUACAAAGUACAGGGUUUCCAUGGAAACACACAGCAGGAGGCCUCAAGCCCAGCUCUGAGGUCCUGUUGGACAAUACUACCUGGAGCAGCAAGGCUGCUUGUCCUGAGAAGCGCUGGGGAGUC